Molecule: ribosomal RNA, 253 nt
Filed under: uncultured bacterium
Lineage: Bacteria
Description: partial 16S ribosomal RNA
Rfam family: Bacterial small subunit ribosomal RNA
Source: RNAcentral
GACGAAGGGGGCUAGCGUUGUUCGGAAUUACUGGGCGUAAAGCGCGUGCAGGCGGUUAUCCAAGUUGGAUGUGAAAGCCAUGAGCUCAACUCAAGAAAUGCAUUCAGGACUGGGUGACUAGAGGACCGGAGAGGAUAGUGGAAUUCCCAGUGUAGUGGUGAAAUACGUAGAGAUUGGGAAGAACACCAGUGGCGAAGGCGGCUAUCUGGACGGUUUCUGACGCUGAGACGCGAAAGCGUGGGGAGCAAACAGG